CCUACGGGCGACAGCAGUGAGGAAUAUUGGUCAAUGGACGAGAGUCUGAACCAGCCAAGCAGCGUGAAGGAUGACUGCCCUAUGGGUUGUAAACUUUUUCUAUAUGGGAAUAACAUGUUCCACGUGUGGGAUUUUGUAUGUACUAUAUGCAUAAGGAUCGGCUAACUACGUGCCAGCAGCCGCGGUAAUACGGAGGAUCCGAGCGUUAUCCGGAUUUAUUGGGUUUAAAGGGAGCGUAGGUGGAUUGUUAAGUCAGUUGUGAAAGUUUGCGGCUCAACCGUAAAAUUGCAGUUGAAACUGGCAGUCUAGAGUACAGUAGAGGUGGGCGGAAUGCGUGGUGUAGCGGUGAAAUGCUUAGAUAUCACGAAGAACUCCGAUUGCGAAGGCAGCUCACUGGACUGCAACUGACACUGAGGCUCGAAAGUGUGGGUAUCAAACAGGAUUAGAUACCCCAGUAGUC
This 460-nucleotide ribosomal RNA is filed under the name uncultured bacterium. Its description in RNAcentral is "partial 16S ribosomal RNA". It matches the Rfam family "Bacterial small subunit ribosomal RNA", at positions 338 to 795 of the family's 1533-position model. The record is from RNAcentral.